GGCUUCGUAGCUCAGUUGGUAGAGCGCUUGUGUUGAGGCAUGGUGUUUCUGUUGCUGGUUCAAAUCCAGCCGAAGCCC
Non-coding RNA from Paragonimus heterotremus, 78 nucleotides. The record is from the annotation of a GenBank genome assembly. NCBI's taxonomy places the organism in Eukaryota, Metazoa, Platyhelminthes, Trematoda, Plagiorchiida, Troglotrematidae.